RNAcentral lists this ribosomal RNA (247 nucleotides) under uncultured bacterium. RNAcentral's name for it is "partial small subunit ribosomal RNA". It matches the Rfam family "Bacterial small subunit ribosomal RNA", at positions 26 to 285 of the family's 1533-position model. The record is from RNAcentral.
AGAAUCAACGCUGGCGGCGUGCCUAACGCAUGCAAGUCGCACGAGAAAGCGGGAGCAAUCCUGUGAAUAAAGUGGCGUACGGGUGAGUAACACGUGAAUCAUCUACCUUCGAGUGCGGAAUAACUGAGAGAAAUCUUAGCUAAUACCGCAUAAUACCCACGGGUCAAAGCAGCAAUGCGCUUGAAGAGGAGUUCGCGGCAGAUUAGUUAGUUGGCGGGGUAAUGGCCCACCAAGACGAUGAUCUGUA